Molecule: ribosomal RNA, 288 nt
Filed under: uncultured Streptococcus sp.
Lineage: Bacteria; Bacillati; Bacillota; Bacilli; Lactobacillales; Streptococcaceae
Description: partial 16S ribosomal RNA
Rfam family: Bacterial small subunit ribosomal RNA
Source: RNAcentral
CGAGCGCAGCCCCUAUUGUUAGUUGCCAUCAUUCAGUUGGGCACUCUAGCGAGACUGCCGGUAAUAAACCGGAGGAAGGUGGGGAUGACGUCAAAUCAUCAUGCCCCUUAUGACCUGGGCUACACACGUGCUACAAUGGUUGGUACAACGAGUUGCGAGUCGGUGACGGCGAGCUAAUCUCUUAAAGCCAAUCUCAGUUCGGAUUGUAGGCUGCAACUCGCCUACAUGAAGUCGGAAUCGCUAGUAAUCGCGGAUCAGCACGCCGCGGUGAAUACGUUUCCGGGCCUU